AUCCCCAGCUCCAUCGUCUCCGACCGCGAUCGUGUCUUCACCAGCGCACUCUGGCGUGAACUCUUAGCCAGCACGGGCACCAAGCUGCUCCUCUCCACAGCGUACCACCCCUAGACGGAUGGCCAGAGCGAACGCGUCAACCAGUGCAUGGAGAUGUACUUGCGUUGCGUCGUGCACGAGGCGCCCUGGCAAUGGUGUCGAUGGCUACCUAUAGCGGAAUUCUGGUACAACUCGUUGUUCCACUCCUCGAUCAAAUGUACCCCCUUCAAAGCUCUUUAUGGCGUUGAGCCCAACCUGGGCACCAUGACACUCUGGGACGACAAGACGGUGCCCAUGAUUGACGGCGAUCCCUGGGACUGGGGACUGCACACGGCGCGCCCGCAUGAGCAAAUCCUUCGCGCCCAGCACCGAUUCAAGAAACAGGUCGAUCAACAUCGCUCAAAGCGCUCCUUCGUGGUGGGCGACGCUGUUCUCCUCAAGCUCCAGCCCUACGCGCAGUCGUCCGUGGCAAACAGACCCUGCGCCAAGCUGGCGUACAAGUACUUCGGACCAUUCUCGGUGAUCGACAAGAUUGGCAAGCUGGCGUACAAACUGGAGUUACCGGCGGACAAUAAGAUCCACCCAGUCUUCCACGUAUCACAGCUCAAGCCAUUCACCCCCAAUUACACACCAGUCUUCUUCGAGCUGCCACGACCCCCUGAUCUCGCAGGCCAUGACGACGAACCGGUGGAGAUCGUGGAGCGUCGAUGGUCAAGCACGGCGCCAGCGCUCUGUUGCAAGUCAAGGUGUGAUGGCGCAAUGACGAGACGACGACCACUUGGGAAGACUACGACACCCUUCGCCGCCGCUUUCCGCAAGCACCGGCGUGGGACGCACCAUCGGUCGGCGACGGAGGCCAGCUCGAAGCAUCUGAAGAAGACGCUCGUUCUGAAGGAAUGGGAAAUGUCACACCGGCAUCACCAGGAGAUGAUGCGGUGGGCGUGUGAUGUGGUGGACCCCAAUGCCUGGUGGCACGAACCCACCUGUAAGGCGAGUUGCCAUGUGUGGCGCGGCUAUUUAGCCAGCUGGAACCAGUAG
RNAcentral lists this ribosomal RNA (1077 nucleotides) under Triticum aestivum (bread wheat). Its description in RNAcentral is "partial small subunit ribosomal RNA". Lineage: Eukaryota; Viridiplantae; Streptophyta; Magnoliopsida; Poales; Poaceae. The record is from RNAcentral.